Molecule: ribosomal RNA, 298 nt
Filed under: Escherichia coli
Lineage: Bacteria; Pseudomonadati; Pseudomonadota; Gammaproteobacteria; Enterobacterales; Enterobacteriaceae
Description: partial 16S ribosomal RNA
Rfam family: Bacterial small subunit ribosomal RNA
Source: RNAcentral
AAAUUGAAGAGUUUGAUCAUGGCUCAGAUUGAACGCUGGCGGCAGGCCUAACACAUGCAAGUCGAACGGUAACAGGAAGCAGCUUGCUGCUUUGCUGACGAGUGGCGGACGGGUGAGUAAUGUCUGGGAAACUGCCUGAUGGAGGGGGAUAACUACUGGAAACGGUAGCUAAUACCGCAUAACGUCGCAAGACCAAAGAGGGGGACCUUCGGGCCUCUUGCCAUCGGAUGUGCCCAGAUGGGAUUAGCUAGUAGGUGGGGUAACGGCUCACCUAGGCGACGAUCCCUAGCUGGUCUGA